UGAGUGGUUUGGGCAGCCGUUGCUCGCUUGGUUUCGGUCAAGACGAGGAGAGGAAAGUCCGGGCUCCAUGGGUCAAGGUGGUUGUUAACGGCAACCGGCCGCGAGGCUAGGGAAAGUGCCACAGAAAAUAAACCGCCGCAGGCGCAAGUCAGCGGUAAGGGUGAAACGGUGCGGUAAGAGCGCACCGCGGCCUUGGUGACAAGGCUGGCAGGGUAAACCCCACCUGGAGAAAGACCAAAUAGGGAAGCGUGGUGAUGACCCCACCUUUCGUUUCCGGGUAGGUCGUUCGAGGCUGUCGGCAACGGCAGUCCUAGAGAAAUGGUUGCCUCCCCUUCCUCCGCAAGGAGAUGGGAGACAGAACCCGGCUUACAGAACCACUCACGUC
Molecule: RNase P RNA, 385 nt
Filed under: Planctomycetota bacterium
Lineage: Bacteria; Pseudomonadati; Planctomycetota
Description: RNase P RNA component class A
Rfam family: Bacterial RNase P class A
About the family: Ribonuclease P (RNase P) is a ubiquitous endoribonuclease, found in archaea, bacteria and eukarya as well as chloroplasts and mitochondria.
Source: RNAcentral